GUGUAAUCGAAGUGGGCGGAAUGAGGUGUGUAGCGGUGAAAUGCAUAGAUAUACCUCAGAACACCGAUAGCGAAGGCAGCUCACUAGCUUACAACUGACGCUGAGGCACGAAAGCGUGGGUAUCAAACAGGAUUAGAUACCUGGUAGUCCACGCAGUAAACGAUGAUCACUAGCUGUAUGCGAUACACAGUAUGUGGCUAAGCGAAAGCGAUAAGUGAUCCACCUGGGGAGUACGUCGGCAACGAUGAAACUCAAAGGAAUUGACGGGGGCCCGCACAAGCGGAGGAGCAUGUGGUUUAAUUCGAUGAUACGCGAGGAACCUUACCUGGGCUUGAACGUAUGGUGCAUGGUGGUGAAAGUCACCUUUCUACGGACUCCAUACGAGGUGCUGCAUGGCUGUCGUCAGCUCGUGCCGUGAGGUGUUAGGUUAAGUCCUGCAACGAGCGCAACCCCUGUUUCCAGUUGCCAGCAAGUUAAGUUGGGGACUCUGGAGAGACUGCCUACGCAAGUAGAGAGGAAGGUGGGGAUGACGUCAAGUCAGCACGGCCCUUACGUCCAGGGCUACACACGUGCUACAAUGGUCGGUACAGAGGGCAGCUUGGUGGUGACACUUGGCUAAUCCCGAAAGCCGGCCUAAGUUCGGAUCGGAGUCUGCAACCCGACUUCGUGAAGCUGGAUUCGCUAGUAAUCGUAUAUCAGCCAUGAUACGGUGAAUACGUUCCCGGGCCUUGUACACACCGCCCGUCAAGCCAUGGAAGUCAGGGGUACCUGAAGUCGGUGACCGAAAGGAGCCGCCUAGGGUAAACCUGAUGACUGGGGCU
This 821-nucleotide ribosomal RNA is filed under the name uncultured prokaryote. RNAcentral describes it as "bacterial SSU rRNA". It matches the Rfam family "Bacterial small subunit ribosomal RNA", at positions 646 to 1482 of the family's 1533-position model. The record is from RNAcentral.